GGAGCUACACUUCCAUCAUCAGUGCAGGAAAUGCUUUCUCUUGCUAUUUGAAUUGCAAAGAGAGCUCUUUACCAUUACAGAGAACAUUUAAUCCAGGAGCACUGCUGAGAAUUUUAGCCUGGAUGGUUAGCAAACACACAUGAGCAUAGUGUGGUGGGACUUUUCUGCAGGGAAAGAAUGCAGGUGGGUGACGUCCCUCUUUGGCAUAGACCCCCUUAUUUACAGAGAAAGUGUACAAGCUGUUUACAGUAGAAAUAAUAACUACAGUCAGUUUCCUUACUCGGAAAUUUCUGCCUUCCUCUUCUAUGCUAUCCGUACUGGAGGGUCAUUCCCUGCCUUUCGUGUGAAACUCGACAGCUAUGCACGGACCUGGGCACAUGCAGGGGCAGCGAGUAACCUCGCAGCCCUGAGGUUGCCCCUUCCAUAAGCCCCUGCAGGACACAACCGGCACUCACCUGGGAGUGCGUGCAGGGGCUGCGGGCCGCCUGCCCACGUCCCCGGGGGCUGCCCAGCAUCCCCAGCGAAGCCGGUGGGCAGCCGGGCUGGGAAAGGCUUAAUUUCAGCGGGGUUUCCUCGGGGCGGGUCCGCUGCUAUCCCUGUCUCCGGGGCUGCGGCGGGAGCGGCCACCCCCGGGCUCCCCGCUCCGGCGCUGUCCGGUCCCCGGUGCUUAAGUGCCACCACCCCCCGCCCGCCGGAGGACCGCGGUCCCGCAACCCCGGGGCGGAGGAGCCGCCCAUCGCCAUCUCCCCCGUGUGAGCCGGUGGGAUUCGGGGGAGGAAACUUUGCCCCCCCCCCCCCCAGCAGGCGAGGCAGAAAGGGAAGCGCUGCGGGAGCUCGCGCCCCGCGGCUGGCGAGGGGAAUUGUAGUGGAAACAGGUUGUUGGGCUCUCGUCGUAGGAGGAAGGGGCGGCUCUGUAUUACCAGCUAGCCAAAUCUGGGCUCUGGGAAAUGGAGACGGAGCUGCUGCUUUUCCAGACAGCGAUGUGCUGAGGGAAAUGGACAGCGAAUUACUACUGCAGGAGAGCUUUGCUCCAAAAUCGCCUCUUCCCAGGAAGCUAAUACACUCCCUGAGCUCCUGAAGUUCUAGCAGUUGCUAGCUCAGCUUGGGGUUAACCACAGCAAGUUUCUGCUGCAGGAGUCCCGGUUUGCAGGGGUCAGGCAGGUGAUUUUUUCCUUCUUUCAAUUUUUGCUCCUCUGCUGGUCCGUGAAUACUGAAUACCGAAAAGUCUGCUCAAAAGCUGGGGAGAGCUCGAGAAGAGCCACGGUGGAGAGUUGUGGUGUUUUGGAUAUAUUUGUCACAAAGUACUGCCACCUCUGCUCGAGAGAUUCAUAUGGCUUGAAGGGUGGAGCUGGAACUUGGCACUUUUACCUCCAUGGAUCCUCUAAACCUCUCUUGGUACAACGGUGACUUCGGUGACAGGAACUGGAGCAAGCCACUCAACGAGUCCAUUGUAGACCACAAGCCUCAGUAUAACUACUAUGCCAUGCUGCUCACUCUCCUCAUCUUUGUCAUUGUUUUUGGCAAUGUGCUGGUGUGCAUGGCUGUGUCCAGGGAAAAAUCUCUUCAGACCACCACUAAUUACCUGAUCGUGAGUUUGGCAGUGGCAGAUCUCUUGGUAGCAACUCUGGUCAUGCCCUGGGUGGUCUAUCUGGAGGUCGUUGGUGAGUGGAGGUUUAGUCGGAUCCACUGUGAUAUCUUUGUAACCCUUGACGUUAUGAUGUGUACUGCCAGUAUCCUCAACCUCUGUGCCAUCAGCAUAGACAGGUACACAGCAGUAGCAAUGCCAAUGCUGUACAACACCCGCUACAGCUCUAAGCGCAGGGUCACAGCCAUGAUUGCUGUGGUCUGGGUGCUUUCGUUUGCCAUCUCCUGCCCACUCCUCUUUGGCCUCAAUAACACAGAUGAGAAUGAGUGCAUCAUUGCCAACCCUACCUUUGUCGUGUAUUCCUCUAUCGUCUCCUUCUACGUUCCCUUCAUUGUCACCCUGCUGGUGUAUGUGCAGAUCUACAUAGUCCUUCAGAAGCGCAGGAAACGUGUCACCACCAAGCUCAGCAGCCGUGGCCUGGACUCAGACACACAAGCCCCGCUGAAGGACAAAUGCACUCAUCCAGAAGACGUCAAGCUCUGCACAGUUAUUGUGAAGUCCAAUGGGAGUUUCCAAGUUAAUAAGCGCAAAGUGGAGGUGGAGAGUCACAUAGAAGAGAUGGAAAUGGUGUCCAGUACCAGUCCCCCUGAGAAAACCACCAUCAAACCUGCAGCACCAAGUAACCACCAGUUGGUUGUGCCAAUGGCUUCUAACCGGGGGACAAACUCAACCCUGCAGGCAGCCUUGGACAGCCCUGGGAAACUAGAGAAGAAUGGACAUGCCAAAGAAACACCCCACACAGCCAAGGCCUUUGAGGCCCAGUCUCUGCCCAAUGGCAAGACGAGAAACUUUCUCAAGGCUCUGAGCAGGAGGAAACUGUCACAACAGAAGGAAAAGAGAGCCACUAAGAUGCUAGCCAUUGUACUUGGUGUUUUCAUCAUCUGCUGGCUCCCAUUCUUCAUCACUCACAUCCUGAACAUGCACUGCGAUUGCAACAUCCCCCCAGCAAUGUACAGCGUCUUUACGUGGCUUGGAUAUGUCAACAGUGCUGUCAACCCAAUUAUUUACACCACCUUCAACAUUGAAUUUCGUAAGGCUUUCCUGAAGAUCCUCCACUGUUAAAAGUAAAAACAGCAACCACAUUUUCCAGAAUGAGAAAAAAUAACCCCGAUGCCAUUCAUGCACACAAAUGGGCAGCCAUGGAGAGGUCUCGAGCUCUUGUAUUUGGCGUGAGGCCUGCAGUGUUACAACAGUGCCAUGCCCAUGCACCUUCUGGUGCAGAUGCAACGAGGACCUUCGCGUGGGAGGUUCUGUCAUUCCUCAUGGUGACCUUUGGACUCUGGGACACCAAUCCCAAGGGCACUUUUCAGAGCUACCCUCACACUGUGUUUGAAGCGGAAGCAAAAAUCAAGACACACUCACUUGAUUCUUGCCUGUGGUCAUCUAACCUUGAGUGCAUUAAACACAGACAGGCGCAGAGCCACGUGUUGUUAGCGGUAGGUCACUGCUGCUACCGGUUUGCGUGUUAUGUCAUUGAUACAAUUCUCACCAAAGACAAGACCAUCUUUUCUGCUUUGCAAUAGGAGCCAGGCAGAGCUUGCGGACAAUCUGUGCAAUAGCUUUGCCUUCACCUUGAGCUGGCUUACCCAGUAUUAAACUGCUGAAGCCUUGAGAAAAAUCUUUAAGACGUCCCUUUAAGUGGGCUAAGAAGGUACUGCCAACUACAGAACCAACUCCUGCAACAAUGUGGGAGUACAAGCAACAGGCAAAAGGAAGAAGGGGAGCAUAGGUCUCAUGUGGGACCACUGCACCAGUGUAAAUAUGAAUAAACAGGAUGAAUUGAACAGAAGCCUAAGCCAAAAAAACAGACGGAGUGAACUAAAGAAGUGAUACCUUGUGUUGCACGGUAUACAUUCAGAUCGAGCAGGACACCAACUACCAUCUAUCAUCAGCCAGCCCAGCAGCAAUUUCUGCCCACCAGCAUCUCAUCUCCACUCUCAUACAAGAAGUUACAAAACUAGGUGAGGAAGUUUAUAACUCAACUCACCUGAACUACUGGACUCACUGAUGAAAGACUCUUCCACAAUGUCAUGGAGGAAAAAGCUGCUGAAAAAGGGCCUAAGUCCUUCAUAUGCUUGCUAACUUGGACAAAAAAAAAGCCCAGCGCCAUUUCCUAGAGAUUAAGGAUUUGUUGGGAGAAGUUACCUGCAGCCCAUCCUUCAUUCCAAUGACAUUUUAAGCCACUCAUUCCUAACAUUCCAGGCUCAAAGGUAGCUUGUGGAAGAUACCCACUGCCCUUGGAAAGGCAGUAAUGCCUUUCUGUUCAUCUCAUCUGCAGCAGGUUUUCCUUUCCUAUUAUACAUCUGCACUUAAAGACAACAAACUAUAGCACCUUCCAUCCAUGAAUCAAGCCUUCACAACUCUUUCUGAGAGAAGACAGAAAUAUAUCACCCUCUGGCUUUACAAAAAAUAAACUAAUGCCAAGAGCAACGACAGUCUUUGCAAUCUGUUUGUCCAGCACCUGGUGCAAUGACAACCAGCCCAUAGCUGUGAUGGAUAGUGUUCGUUGCAGUCAGUCGCAUCAUGCAGGACUCUGAGGCCUCUGGCCCACAGAUCUGCGUCUGGCAAACACAGUCCUCACUGUUACUUCCAGUCUGGAAAAAAACACUGCUUUCCCAAGGACUUCAGAUGGAGGGACAUGCUGAUGAUGGUAAGGGUACUGAUAUGUUUUUUACAUCACAUUAGUGAGAAGAUUUCAUUUCUUCAUUCCUGAAGAAAAACUUAGGACCCUUGCUGUAGUCCCUAUUUUGUGAUUCAUUAUUUGUAAUUGAAGCUUUAGUUCUGCUUAUUGAGUCUUCCUGUUCCUGCUUUUCUUCCCUGAGAUUCACAGCUUCCUGAAGCCUGUGUGGCUCUCUGCACCCCUGAACAGGUUUUAAUUAAGAAGCUAGUGAAUUCUGCCUGCACUGUAUUUGGCGCUUGCCGGCUUGCUCCCACUACAGUCAUGAUACUGUUUAUCUUCCUGAUUGAAGAGUAAACUAAUUACAGUAGGUCUAACUAGCUUAUUAAAUCCUGCUGAAAUGAAAAGGAAAACAGGAAAAAAAGCCACUACCUCUGUGGUGAAAAUCUCCAGUGAAAACAUGACUCCCUGAAGAGUCAAGAAUGUGUAAUACCCAUCACAAGUACAUGUGACACCAACAACUGUCUUCAUGCAGCACUGUAAUUAAAUAGAGACUUGCACAAGCUACCCUGAUGUUA
This is an RNA transcript of Pezoporus flaviventris, 4840 nucleotides long. It is a transcript of the gene named dopamine receptor D2, with no coding region annotated. NCBI's taxonomy places the organism in Eukaryota, Metazoa, Chordata, Aves, Psittaciformes, Psittacidae. The record is from RefSeq and is a predicted model, not a curated record. The transcript is spliced from 9 exons.